This 66-nucleotide transfer RNA is filed under the name Nemoura cinerea. RNAcentral describes it as "tRNA-Gly". It matches the Rfam family "tRNA". Rfam says of the family: Transfer RNA (tRNA) molecules are approximately 80 nucleotides in length. Their secondary structure includes four short double-helical elements and three loops (D, anti-codon, and T loops). Further hydrogen bonds mediate the characteristic L-shaped molecular structure. tRNAs have two regions of fundamental functional importance: the anti-codon, which is responsible for specific mRNA codon recognition, and the 3' end, to which the tRNAs corresponding amino acid is attached (by aminoacyl-tRNA synthetases). tRNAs cope with the degeneracy of the genetic code in two manners: having more than one tRNA (with a specific anti-codon) for a particular amino acid; and 'wobble' base-pairing, i.e. permitting non-standard base-pairing at the 3rd anti-codon position. Lineage: Eukaryota; Metazoa; Arthropoda; Insecta; Plecoptera; Nemouridae. The record is from RNAcentral.
ACUUAUUUAGUAUAGUAGUAUUUUUGACUUCCAAUCAGAGGGCCUAAACUAAGUUUAGAAUAAGUA